Molecule: long non-coding RNA, 2689 nt
Organism: Populus trichocarpa (black cottonwood)
Lineage: Eukaryota; Viridiplantae; Streptophyta; Magnoliopsida; Malpighiales; Salicaceae
Exons: 6
Source: RefSeq, a predicted model, not a curated record
ACUAAAUUACUUAAAAACUUGAUAAAAUAGUCAAUUAUAAAAGAUAAAACUAUGGUUUAUAAAACAACUAAAUACUAAUUAAUUAUCAUAAAUACCUCUAGCUUUUGGGGUUCCAUUUCCAUAUACCUCAACCAUGUACUUUGCGAGGGUUUCUUGGAGGCGAGCCAAAAAUGAGAGAUUGAAUCUAAGCUGUUGAUAUAAAACCAUGAGAAAAAUCCAAUGGUGGAUAAGAAGUCCAAGUCAUCUGUCCAUGUCAAAAUGAUUUCCCUCUCAUACCAAACCCAACAAUUUGGCGCCAUUUUACAGCUGUCAUAACUGAAAUUUCCUUCUUGUCACAAGUUAAGUUUGAUUCAAGGGGGAGGAAGGAAUUGCACUGGACACAAGGUUGUUUUCAAAUCAAAUGAACCUUAGACAAUAUGACUAUCAGGAUUUAGUUAUAGCUAUACGAGCAUUUUAUUAGUGCAGGGUUUGUUAAGAAAAGAUGCCACGUGUGGCUAGUAGCGAGAAUAUAGGAAGUUAUCUUCAUAUAUAAGAUCUGUAACAGAAUUGGAGAAGGAUAAUAAUGAACAUAAUGAAUGAAUGUUGAGCUGAAUUCGUGGAAUUCUGCUUCUAUCUCUCUUCUUCUUCCAUUUGCUCACUAACCUGUAAACACCAUGAAUGGAACUUGGCUACCAACCAUUUCCAUCACCAAGGCACCUCUGGAUGUUAUCCAGAUUGGUUCCAGUCAAUCAGACACGCACAUUUCUCCUUUUAUUUUCAUUUUUAAAAUCUCUAAGCAGUUAGGAGGAGGAGGAGAAGUCGAGUCUACUGAUGGGUUUGCUACUACCACUGUUGCUUCACUUGUUCGUGCAAAAGAUGACAGUGGUUUUGUUAAAUGUGAAGAGUGCAAGAAGGAUAUGCCAGUGGCUUUAUAAGUUUCCAAGGCCGUAGUCUUGAUGCUAAAAUCAAGAUGAAUUCUGUGAUUUGGUUCGUAGGAAGACAGCAACCUUGACAGAGCCGAAAGCGAAGAAAGAGGAGAAGGGAAAGGAUCAAAAUGCACUGAAACGACCUCCCAUUACUUUCUUUCUCCUCAUGUAAUGCAAUGAAACGAAAAUGCACUGAAACGACCUCUCAUUACUUUCUUUCUCCUCAUGCAAUGCCCUUUGUUGCUUGUUUAUGUGGUGUAAUAUAGUGUGAUGAUAAUGUGUGAAUAUGGGGAGGGGGGUUUGUAUUGAUAUGUGUUGUUCUUUAAUUAGGGGUGAUCUUAGGAAAGAGUAUAAGGAAGGCAACCCGCACUCUAAGGAUGUUAAGAAGAUAAAUGAAACGUUGCAAGGGAAGGUGGUGAGAGAUGGAAAUAAAUGACCGAUGAAGAGAAGAAGCCUUAUAUGGAUAAGGCUGCUGAGCUUAAGGCAGGGUAUGCUGAAAAUAAGGAUGUGAGUUCAUAAUAUCUCCUCAAUUUAUUGAUUUAAUGAGAAUGUUGUCAUGAGAUUUAGAACCUUCAAGCUUAAUCCUUUAAUGAGUUUCGGCAUUGUGCCUGAAAUCUGAUACGUUUAAAAUCUCCAGAAAGUUGUUUGCCCUGUUGUUUAAAAUCCUUGAGAGAAACCCACUAAGCUGAUUUGAUUUGAGCUCCACUGAGGAUAUUACAUCUGGCAAUUUGAUCUUUAAAAUAUCAAACUUCAAUUGGUUAUGUGACAGCUUGAGCUUUUGCAAAUUAGACAUGUUGGUGAAGAAACCACUAAUGUUAUCCAUUAGAAAGUUAUCAGAUAGGUCUCAAGAGCUCAAAGAAUCUGGUCUUGUAAAUUUUGAAAGGUUUUCUUUGAGUUUACAGUUAGCUAGAUGAACACCUGAAAGUUCUUUAUCUUUGAUCCAAUCAAGAACUGACCCUAAACUGAGGUUGUUGUAAGUCAGGUCUUUUGAUAAUAGACGAGGAAGACCCCUACCUUGAAUAACUGGCAAAGGAUUUGAGAGUUUAUUUCUGGAUAAGUUAAGGUGCCACAGGUUUUGUAAGUUUGAAAUGGAUGAAAGAAUUUGACCUAUAAGACCAUUAGAACUCAAAGAAGUGUAAGAGAUUCUUGAUCUGCAGCUUCUCAACCCUUCUCCUCUCUCUUUUUCGAUUGGGUUUUGGGCUUGCUUUUGUGAGACAUCUCGUUGCUGGUGUGGCUUUGUUUUCUCUGAUUCGCAGGUCAUUCAUUCCUGGAUUGGUGCACUGUAAUGAUUGCCCAUAAAAAGGGCUUCAAUUUGGCAAGUUGUUCAUAUUAUAAUUUGUGUUGAGGGAAGUGUUGAUUGAGUGUCCUAUUCAUCUGGGACCGGUUUCCUAGGGCCUGGCCAUUCCAUCUUCUCUGUGGGUUGGUGGCUAGGUAUGGUCUUCAUGCAGCCAGGUUAACCAGAAGAUUUGGCAUCUUAUACGUUGGUUUUUUUGGUUUUGGGUUUUGUUUGCCAUGUGGGGCCUGUUCUCCUGCGUUUCCAGCUUUGUUGGGUGAGCUCAUGUGGUUUUAUUUUACUGGUAAGGCCAACCAUUGAGGUCCUUUUCAGCUCUUUUUUUUUUCCUUUAAAAAUUAGUGCAUUCAUGAGUUGUUUUAUGUUGUUUUAUGAUGUUGUUUCUUUGUGGAUGUUCUAGACUUCAAGUUUGUUGCUCUUGGUUGUGGCUGGCUGGGUGCUGAAAAAAUUUACUUCUUUAGUUGUUUUUGUGUUCAUAAGUAGCUUCAUGUUG